This 28-nucleotide non-coding RNA is filed under the name Cricetulus griseus (Chinese hamster). Lineage: Eukaryota; Metazoa; Chordata; Mammalia; Rodentia; Cricetidae. The record is from RNAcentral.
CUGUUUAGGGAUAUAUGCUACUGUUAGU